UAAUACAUGCAAGUCGAACGCGCAGCGAAAGGUGCUUGCACCUUUCAAGCGAGUGGCGAACGGGUGAGUAACACGUGGAUAACCUGCCUCAAGGCUGGGGAUAACAUUUGGAAACAGAUGCUAAUACCGAAUAAAACUUAGUAUCGCAUGAUACAAAGUUGAAAGGCGCUACGGCGUCACCUAGAGAUGGGUCCGCGGUGCAUUAGUUAGUUGGUGGGGUAAAGGCCUACCAAGACAAUGAUGCAUAGCCGAGUUGAGAGACUGAUCGGCCACAUUGGGACUGAGACACGGCCCAAACUCCUACGGGAGGCUGCAGUAGGGAAUCUUCCACAAUGGGCGAAAGCCUGAUGGAGCAACGCCGCGUGUGUGAUGAAGGCUUUAGGGUCGUAAAGCACUGUUGUAUGGGAAGAAAUGCUAGAAUAGGGAAUGAUUCUAGUUCGACGGUACCAUACCAGAAAGGGACGGCUAAAUACGUGCCAGCAGCCGCGGUAAUACGUAUGUCCCGAGCGUUAUCCGGAUUUAUUGGGCGUAAAGCGAGCGCAGACGGUUGAUUAAGUCUGAUGUGAAAGCCCGGAGCUCAACUCCGGAAUGGCAUUGGAAACUGGUUAACUUGAGUGUUGUAGAGGUAAGUGGAACUCCAUGUGUAGCGGUGGAAUGCGUAGAUAUAUGGAAGAACACCAGUGGCGAAGGCGGCUUACUGGACAACAACUGACGUGAGGCUCGAAAGUGUGGGUAGCAAACAGGAUUAGAUACCCAGGGUAGUC
This 764-nucleotide ribosomal RNA is filed under the name Leuconostoc lactis. Its description in RNAcentral is "bacterial SSU rRNA". It matches the Rfam family "Bacterial small subunit ribosomal RNA", at positions 49 to 795 of the family's 1533-position model. Lineage: Bacteria; Bacillati; Bacillota; Bacilli; Lactobacillales; Lactobacillaceae. The record is from RNAcentral.